AGUGAACGCUGGCGGUAGGCCUAACACAUGCAAGUCGAACGGCAGCACAGUAAGAGCUUGCUCUUACGGGUGGCGAGUGGCGGACGGGUGAGGAAUACAUCGGAAUCUACUUUUUCGGGGGGGAUAACGUAGGGAAACUUACGCUAAUACCGCAUACGACCUACGGGUGAAAGCAGGGGAUCUUCGGACCUUGCGCGAUUGAAUGAGCCGAUGUCGGAUUAGCUAGUUGGCGGGGUAAAGGCCCACCAAGGCGACGAUCCGUAGCUGGUCUGAGAGGAUGAUCGGCCACACUGGAGCUGAGACACGGUCCAGACUCCUACGGGAGGCAGCAGUGGGGAAUAUUGGACAAUGGGCGCAAGCCUGAUCCAGCCAUACCGCGUGGGUGAAGAAGGCCUUCGGGUUGUAAAGCCCUUUUGUUGGGAAAGAAAAGCAGCAGGUUAAUACCCCGCUGUUCUGACGGUACCCAAAGAAUAAGCACCGGCUAACUUCGUG
This 492-nucleotide ribosomal RNA is filed under the name uncultured bacterium. RNAcentral's name for it is "partial 16S ribosomal RNA". It matches the Rfam family "Bacterial small subunit ribosomal RNA", at positions 29 to 507 of the family's 1533-position model. The record is from RNAcentral.